Molecule: ribosomal RNA, 468 nt
Filed under: uncultured bacterium
Lineage: Bacteria
Description: partial 16S ribosomal RNA
Rfam family: Bacterial small subunit ribosomal RNA
Source: RNAcentral
GACGAACGCUGGCGGCGUGCUUAACACAUGCAAGUCGAACGGAAAGGCCCUGCUUUUGUUGGGUGCUCGAGUUGCGAACGGGUGAGUAACACGUGAGUAACCUGCCCUUUACUUUGGGAUAACUUCAGGAAACUGUGGCUAAUACCGGAUAGGAGCUCCUGCUGCAUGGUGUGGGUUGGAAAGUUUCGGCGGUUGGGGUUGGACUCGCGGCUUAUCAGCUUUUUGUUGUGGUAGUGGAUUACCAAGGCGUUGACGGGUAGCCGGACUGAGAGGGUGACCGGCCACAGUGGGACUGAGAAACGGCCAAGACGCAUACGGGAGGCAGCAGUGGGGAAUAGUGCAAAAUGGGCGGAAGCCGGAAGCAGCAACGCCGCGUGCGGGAUGACGGCCUUAGGGGUGUAAACCGUGUUCGACUGGGAAGAAGAGUGAGUGACGGUAAUGGGUAAAGAAGCAACGGCUAACUACGUG